RNAcentral lists this long non-coding RNA (275 nucleotides) under Citrus x clementina. RNAcentral describes it as "Citrus clementina (C. clementina) long non-coding RNA (CCLE_LNC005899)". Lineage: Eukaryota; Viridiplantae; Streptophyta; Magnoliopsida; Sapindales; Rutaceae. The record is from RNAcentral.
CAGCGGAAAAAUGGCCAAAAAACGGGUGGGCUAUAGCCUUGGUGGGGGGCGUGGGCGAAGUUCGUCCGCGGGACUCGGAAUGGCACAAGACUUGGCGGGCGGCCUCCGUGUGCCAAAAAUAGGCCACGGGCACAGCCGCGCCCAAAAAACAGCCCCCGAAGUUCGGGGUGCCAAGACCCCCCAGCGGAAAAAUGGCCAAAGAACGGGUGGGCUAUAGCCUUGGUGGGGGGCGUGGGCGAAGUUCGUCCGCCGGACUCGGAAUGGCCCCAGACUUG